GGGGAAUCUUCCGCAAUGGACGAAAGUCUGGCGGAGCAACGCCGCGUGAGUGAUGACGGCCUUCGGGUUGUAAAGCUCUGUUAAUCGGGACGAAUGGUUCUUGUGCGAAUAGUGCGAGGAUUUGACGGUACCGGAAUAGAAAGCCACGGCUAACUACGUGCCAGCAGCCGCGGUAAUACGUAGGUGGCAAGCGUUGUCCGGAAUUAUUGGGCGUAAAGCGCGCGCAGGCGGAUCAGUCAGUCUGUCUUAAAAGUUCGGGGCUUAACCUCGUGAUGGGAUGGAAACUGCUGAUCUAGAGUAUCGGAGAGGAAAGUGGAAUUCCUAGUGUAGCGGUGAAAUGCGUAGAUAUUAGGAAGAACACCAGUGGCGAAGGCGACUUUCUGGACGAAAACUGACGCUGAGGCGCGAAAGCCAGGGGAGCGAACGGGAUUAGAUACCCCGGUAGUCCUGGCCGUAAACGAUGGGUACUAGGUGUAGGAGGUAUCGACCCCUUCUGUGCCGGAGUUAACGCAAUAAGUACCCCGCCUGGGGAGUACGACCGCAAGGUUG
RNAcentral lists this ribosomal RNA (549 nucleotides) under uncultured bacterium. RNAcentral describes it as "bacterial SSU rRNA". It matches the Rfam family "Bacterial small subunit ribosomal RNA", at positions 356 to 896 of the family's 1533-position model. The record is from RNAcentral.